Molecule: unclassified non-coding RNA, 2398 nt
Filed under: Hevea brasiliensis (rubber tree)
Lineage: Eukaryota; Viridiplantae; Streptophyta; Magnoliopsida; Malpighiales; Euphorbiaceae
Source: RNAcentral
GAGUUCAGGAGCACGGUACCAUCGUGUUGCCACAUAAUCCUUGACAAAUAAAGUAUUAGUCAGUAUAUCCAGGGAACGUGUAGAAUAUUUUAAUUGUAAACUCGUCAAAUUAGAAUCCUCCACAGAUUUCAUUUUCUUUCUUUGAUCCUAAAAAAUAGUAGGCAUAAAUAAUACCAAACUGAAAUAUACAACAGUGUGCUUCAAGAAUGUUAAAAUUAUGACUCAAAAUCGUAAUGAGAUUUGAAAAAACCAUUGUAAAGGGACUUUGACGACUGCUGAGGAUUUGGCUCAUCCAGUGAUGAGACAGACUUGGCCGCAGUGGAGAGAGACUUGGCCUAAGGUAGAGUAAGAACAUAGAAUUCAAGAGGAGGAAGGAAUUUUUGUUCAUUUGUGCGAGAGCUUUUGCUUAUGUCUAGAAGAGACUGAGAGGAACUAACUAAUAUUAGCUUGUAAUGAUGAUUUAUUAUUGAUGAUAGUAGAAGAUAUGCCCGUGGAACCAUAUAAAUAUUGGUGUUUUAUUUGUUUACUUUAAUUUUUUAUAGUUUACACGCUUCCGUAGUGCACAACACUAUGUUUUCCAUUUGCUGAGCUCAUGGUUGUUACGGUUAGUAGGGUUUUUUUUUCCAAAAAAAAAAAUGUUUUGAAGGGUAGUUUUAGCUGGUGUAAUGAUCUUCUAAUGCAAAUGCUUUAAUAUUUUCAGGCUUAAUAUCUUCCUUGCGGGAAUGCAUACUAAGCCUUUCUUCUUCUGAUCAGUGAAAACAGGCCCUAGUUUUGCUGAUGCAGCUGUGGGAAGAAUUGCUCAACAAACAAAAGUUCUUGCAGAAGGAGGUUAUGAGAAAAUCUUUCGACAAACUUUCGAUACUGUUCCCGAGGAACAACUUCAGAAGACAUAUGCAUGCUACCUAUCAACAUAUGCUGGUCCAGUCAUGGGAGUUUUAUAUUUAUCAACUGCAAAACUUGCAUUUUGUAGUGACAAUCCUUUGUCUUAUCAAGUUGGUGAGGAAACUCAAUGGAGCUAUUACAAGGUAUGCAUAUCAUGCUUUCUCAACGUUUUUAAACAGCUUCACAAUAUUUUUAAUUUCCAGGAGCCAGCAACACAUAGUCUGAUGAUGGCAUGGAGUUUGUAUCGACCUUUUCACUUUUUUGUUCUUUUUGGCGUCAAUGUGGAUUGUGGUGGUCAUUUGGGUUAUUGUUCUGAACUUUUUUUUUUCAAAUCUCGAUAACUGCUGUGAUUAUGGUCUUUGUUCUAAGACACAUUUAUUUCUUUGGCAGUGAGAUGCACAAAAUUGUAUGGAUGGAAAUCCUGUUUCCAGUAUUCAAAAAAAAAAUUUUACCCAUUGGUAUACAGCAUUAAGCAUUUGAUUGUUGAUGCAUCUAAGUUGAACCUUCUAGUUCACAAUCCCUUGGACUAUUUUGUUCCAACAAGAUCAUUAGUGGAUGGGAUUUCAUUUAAAUUUCGCUUAGUAGGUAUAGUCAUGACUCAAGCCACAAGUUCCAUAAUCAGCUGAGGUAGUUUUGUUAAUAAAUCAUACUUACCUAGCUGAAAAUUUAGAAAUUUUCUGUUGCAAACAAUUAUCCCCCAAGUUGCUAAAGUCCCUUGUCGCAAAUCCCAACAGAUAAUUGCUGGUGUUAUAGAUAAUUCAAUUUCCUUGUAUAAUGUGGACCCUCAUUUUCUCCUUGGGGAUUGGAACGGGCUUGAUUGAUCUUGCUCAAAUUCUAUUAUUAAUGGAGGCCACCAUAAAUGACUUGCAUGAGCAGGGAACUCUUAUAGGAAGCAACUAUAGUUACUGAUAUAAGGAGGUGGGCUAGUGUGUGUGUUAUGUGUUUGAAGUAAACAAUGAAUGCCUUGGUUUGGUUUUCAUGUGAUAUUCUCUUGGAAUGAAGUAUUUAUUUAUUUAUAUGUAUCAUGUUGCUUACAAUGUUUUGGGCAUCGCACUUUCCUUCUCCAUAUGCAUAGGUUGUCCUUCCAUUACACCAACUGAGGGCUGUCAACCCUUCAACAAGCAAGGCGAAACCUGGAGAAAAAUACAUCCAGAUUAUCUCAGUAGACAAUCAUGAAUUUUGGUUCAUGGGUUUCGUACACUACGACAGUGCUGUGAAAAAUCUUCAAGGGGCAUUGACGCAUGGCAGCUUGUGAUGCGUCAGUAGCCAAAUUUCCAGUCCUAUCGAAAUGAAGCGUCUGAUACUGCUAGUUGGUGUAGAUAAAAGUAUUCAACAUGUAGAUGGAUGUUUCAUUUGUUUAUAGUGUUGUGUGGUAUUCGUUUGUGAUUCAAACUCAUUGAAGUUUAUGUUAUGAUGCUUAUGUAGUCAUCCUUAGAACUUGAUUUAUAAGAGAGCAGUUGAGAUAUCAUAUCCUUUAUUCUCAUAAUUAAAUUAAUUAAUUUUGUUUCUGGUUGAG